AGCUCUUUUGCUUAAGGAUAGGAUAUAUGGAGAUUUUAGUUCAUUAAUGUAACAUCCCGUGCGGCAAGGGGAAAUAAUCUGCGACUGGAGGCGGGGCCUCGCUUGAGACCUUGAUCAAAUGGGAGGCAGUAAUGAACCGAAUCAUACAUUAAAAUGGGGAAAACUAAUCACUAGAGGUGCCUUUUGGUGGAAUAGCUUGGAGAGUUAAAAGAACUCCAGACUUAAGCAUGCUCGCUUGAGAAGGAUGGGUGACUUCUUGGAAAGUUCUCCAUUCCAC
This 277-nucleotide unclassified non-coding RNA is filed under the name Hevea brasiliensis (rubber tree). The record is from RNAcentral. Lineage: Eukaryota; Viridiplantae; Streptophyta; Magnoliopsida; Malpighiales; Euphorbiaceae.